This 406-nucleotide ribosomal RNA is filed under the name uncultured bacterium. RNAcentral's name for it is "partial 16S ribosomal RNA". It matches the Rfam family "Bacterial small subunit ribosomal RNA", at positions 29 to 526 of the family's 1533-position model. The record is from RNAcentral.
AUUGACCGCUGGCGGCAGGCCUAACCCAUGCAAGUCGAGCGAGCGGCGGACGGGUGAGUAAUGUCUGGGAAACUGCCUGAUGGAGGGGGAUAACUACUGGAAACGGUAGCUAAUACCGCAUACCAUCAGAUGUGCCCAGAUGGGAUUCGCUAGUAGGUGGGGUAACGGCUCACCUAGGCGACGAACCCUAGCUGGUCUGAGAGGAUGACCAGCCACACGGGAACUGCGAAACGGGCAAGACGCGUACGUGAGGCAGCAGUGGGGAAUAUUGCACAAUGGGCGCAAGGCUGAUGCAGCCAUGCCGCGUGUGUGAAGAAGGCCUUCGGGUUGGAAAGCACUUUCAGCGGGGAGGCGUUACCCGCAGAAGAAGCACCGGCUAACUCCGUGCCAGCAGCCGCGGUAAUAC